AACGAACGCUGGCGGCAGGCUUAACACAUGCAAGUCGAACGCCCCGCAAGGGGAGUGGCAGACGGGUGAGUAACGCGUGGGAACGUGCCCUUCGCUUCAGGAUAGCCUCGGGAAACUGGGAGUAAUACUGAAUACGCCGUAUUGGGAAAGAUUUAUCGGCGAAGGAUCGGCCCGCGUUAGAUUAGGUAGUUGGCGGUGUAAUGGACCACCAAGCCUACGAUCUAUAGCUGGUCUGAGAGGAUGAUCAGCCACACUGGGACUGAGACACGGCCCAGACUCCUACGGGAGGCAGCAGUGGGGAAUCUUGGACAAUGGGCGCAAGCCUGAUCCAGCCAUGCCGCGUGAGUGAAGAAGGCCUUAGGGUUGUAAAACUCUUUCGCCGGAGAAGAUAAUGACGGUAUCCGGAGAAGAAGCCCCGGCUAACUUCGUGCCAGCAGCCGCGGUAAUACGAAGGGGGCUAGCGUUGUUCGGAAUUACUGGGCGUAAAGCGCACGUAGGCGGGUUUGUAAGUAGGGGGUGAAAUCCCAGGGCUCAACCCUGGAACUGCCUUCUAAACUGCAAG
This 562-nucleotide ribosomal RNA is filed under the name uncultured bacterium. RNAcentral describes it as "bacterial SSU rRNA". It matches the Rfam family "Bacterial small subunit ribosomal RNA", at positions 28 to 639 of the family's 1533-position model. The record is from RNAcentral.